CAAUAGCGUAUAUUAAAGUUGUUGCAGUUAAAAAGCUCGUAGUUGAACUUCUGGCAGUUGUGUCUGCAGGCUUCGGUCGCUGACAUAGCGGUCAUCCGCUUGGGAACUACGUUCGAACUUCACUGUUCGGCGUAAGGAACAGGCAUUUUACUUUGAAAAAAUUAGAGUGUUCAAGGCAGGCUAUCGCCCUGAAUACACAAGCAUGGAAUAAUGAAAUAGGACUUCUUCCAUUUUAUUGGUUAUUGGAAAAAGUAAUGAUUAACAGGGACAGUUGGGGGCAUUAGUAUUUAAUUGUCAGAGGUGAAAUUCUUGGAUUUAUUAAAGACUAACUUAUGCGAAAGCAUUUGCCAAGGAUGUUUUCAUUAA
RNAcentral lists this ribosomal RNA (366 nucleotides) under uncultured eukaryote. Its description in RNAcentral is "partial 18S ribosomal RNA". It matches the Rfam family "Eukaryotic small subunit ribosomal RNA", at positions 592 to 976 of the family's 1831-position model. The record is from RNAcentral.